CUGGGUGUAGCUCAGUUUGGUAGAGUACUCGCCUCGGACGCGAGGAGUCGCAGGUUCAAAUCCUGUCACCCAGACCA
This 77-nucleotide transfer RNA is filed under the name Microbacterium phage Big4. Its description in RNAcentral is "tRNA-Pro". It matches the Rfam family "tRNA". From Rfam's summary of the family: Transfer RNA (tRNA) molecules are approximately 80 nucleotides in length. Their secondary structure includes four short double-helical elements and three loops (D, anti-codon, and T loops). Further hydrogen bonds mediate the characteristic L-shaped molecular structure. tRNAs have two regions of fundamental functional importance: the anti-codon, which is responsible for specific mRNA codon recognition, and the 3' end, to which the tRNAs corresponding amino acid is attached (by aminoacyl-tRNA synthetases). tRNAs cope with the degeneracy of the genetic code in two manners: having more than one tRNA (with a specific anti-codon) for a particular amino acid; and 'wobble' base-pairing, i.e. permitting non-standard base-pairing at the 3rd anti-codon position. Lineage: Duplodnaviria; Heunggongvirae; Uroviricota; Caudoviricetes. The record is from RNAcentral.